This 503-nucleotide ribosomal RNA is filed under the name uncultured bacterium. Its description in RNAcentral is "partial 16S ribosomal RNA". It matches the Rfam family "Bacterial small subunit ribosomal RNA", at positions 30 to 523 of the family's 1533-position model. The record is from RNAcentral.
AUUGAACGCUGGCGGCAGGCUUAACACAUGCAAGUCGAGCGGGGUGAUGGUGCUUGCACUAUCACUUAGCGGCGGACGGGUGAGUAAUGCUUAGGAAUCUGCCUAUUAGUGGAGGACAACAUCUCGAAAGGGAUGCUAAUACCGCAUACGUCCUACGGGAGAAAGCAGGGGAUCACUUGUGACCUUGCGCUAAUAGAUGAGCCUAAGUCGGAUUAGCUAGUUGGUGGGGUAAAGGCCUACCAAGGCGACGAUCUGUAGCGGGUCUGAGAGGAUGAUCCGCCACACUGGGACGGAGACACGGACCAGACUCCUACGGGAGGCAGCAGUGGGGAAUAUUGGACCAUGGGGGGAACCCUGAUCCAGCCAUGCCGCGUGUGUGAAGAAGGCCUUAUGGUUGUAAAGCACUUUAAGCGAGGAGGAGGCUCUUUUGGUUAAUACCCAAGAUGAGUGGACGUUACUCGCAGAAUAAGCACCGGCUAACUCUGUGCCAGCCGCCGCCGUAA